This 602-nucleotide long non-coding RNA is filed under the name Nicotiana benthamiana. RNAcentral's name for it is "long non-coding RNA (NBEN_LNC036416)". Lineage: Eukaryota; Viridiplantae; Streptophyta; Magnoliopsida; Solanales; Solanaceae. The record is from RNAcentral.
GGCUUGAGUCUGGAGCGUGGGCAAUUUAAUAUGGGGGGCCAACACGAGAAUUGGAUGAGUCUUACUCUUAUACCGUGAUAAAGAAAUGGACAUUUGGCCUAACUUAACCCCAAAAGCUAGCUCAUAAGAUGAAGAUUACCCAAAGACAAUAUGAAGAGGCCUUUCCAUCCCUUAAUGGCCAAUGUGGGACUCAACUCCCCCUCACACACGGGACCUUUGGCCUAACUUAACCCCAAAAGCUAGCUGAUGAGAUGAGGAUUGCCCAAGACAAUAUAAAGAGGCCUUCCCAUCCGUUAAUGGCCAAUGUGGGACUCAACUCCCCAUCACACACGCAUGAAUGGACAUCUGGAGCAUGGAUAAUAUAAGAUGAGGCCCAACAUGGGUAAAGGAAUUAGGAUGUGCUUGGCUCUGGUACAACGAUAAAGAAAUGGACUUUGGACCUAACUCAACUCCAAAAGCUACCUCGCGAGGUGAGGAUUGCCCUAGACCAUAUAAGGAGUCCAAUACUCGCAUCCCCAAUCCAUGUGGGAUAUUCAACAUCCAGUUUGGUUGUGUAACUUUGGAUAUGGACAUAUAGGUUAGCUUAAUCUAGAAGAAGCAAU